GUGAGGAAUAUUGGUCAAUGGACGGAAGUCUGAACCAGCCAUGCCGCGUGCAGGAAUAAGGUCCUAUGGAUUGUAAACUGCUUUUAUUCGGGAAUAAACCUCUUUACGUGUAGGGAGCUGAAGGUACCGAAGGAAUAAGCACCGGCUAACUCCGUGCCAGCAGCCGCGGUAAUACGGAGGGUGCAAGCGUUAUCCGGAAUCAUUGGGUUUAAAGGGUCCGCAGGCGGGCUAUCAAGUCAGAGGUGAAAUCCCACAGCUUAACUGUGGAACUGCCUUUGAAACUGAUGGUCUUGAAUUAAGUGGGCGUUGGCGGAAUAUGACAUGUAGCGGUGAAAUGCAUAGAUAUGUCAUGGAACACCGAAAGCGAAGGCAGCUAACGAUACUUAUAUUGACGCUCAUGGACGAAAGCGUGGGUAGCGAACAGGAUUAGAAACCCUUGUAGUCC
Molecule: ribosomal RNA, 445 nt
Filed under: uncultured bacterium
Lineage: Bacteria
Description: bacterial SSU rRNA
Rfam family: Bacterial small subunit ribosomal RNA
Source: RNAcentral